Lactuca sativa (garden lettuce) is the source of this 806-nucleotide long non-coding RNA. RefSeq lists it as uncharacterized. The record is from RefSeq and is a predicted model, not a curated record. NCBI's taxonomy places the organism in Eukaryota, Viridiplantae, Streptophyta, Magnoliopsida, Asterales, Asteraceae.
UACCUCUUCUUUGAAUAGGAAGGAGCUGGCGCGGUAGUGGCCCAUCACACACAUGCCUUGUAUUCCGCACUAUGAGAUCCUCCUGGGAAUUUGUGCUCUGAUGAUAUUAUGUUUAUAUAAAAUGUUUUUCAAGACAUGCGAUAAUUGUUAUGAAAUGAUACGAUCGGUUAACCUUAUAUUUCUAAUGUUUUUCAAACUGCUUUCCCUUCAUCUGCUCCGUCCUUGGCGCUUGAUUUCUACCAGAUACGGAUUUCUUCGACAACAUCCUCCAGCAACCACAUAUUAGGGUUCGAUUUUGGCUUCAACGGACAUUUCAGCCAGAGUACACGCCGAUGUUCCUGCUAUCUGCUGACUUCCACCCUUCUUCUUCGAUUUCAGCCACCGCAAUCUGCGGUGACACCGCCUCAAUCACAGCCUCCGUCGGUUGGUUUUCGGUCGGGUUGUUUCAAUUUAAUGCAGAGAACAUCAAUGGUUGCAGUCUGCUGAACAUUUUAUAUCCAAUGAAUGGGUUCGCUUUUCAAUUUUGUUGAAAUUAGGGUUUAUGAGAAUGCAACAAUCGAGGAUGACGGCUAGAGCCUGAUGAAUUUGUCGAUCUAAGCCCUAUUCUCUUUUUGUUUUCGAUUCUAGAAUCCACAAUCGAUUCACUGCAAUCGAUCAUUGACACUCGCAAUAUCAUUCAGGUCAGUAGAAAUCAAUCCGUUUUCCAGGCUAUAUAGCUUUUUAAGAUUUGAAUAUGGGUGUAUACGUAUGUAGUGUUGAUGUUACAUUUAUUUUUCUUUUCAUCAAUUGAUAUUGUUUUUCUUUCA